UCAGCAUAACUAUAUCAGCAAAAGACCCAGCUCUUAACUCACAUAAUUGCACUGGGAAGGCUCCUUAAGUGGAGGCCAGCUUAUACAGAUUCUGCAGACGGAAGGAAGCAAGAGAAUUGCUCCUUUCAUCAUGAUGGCGUUUUAUCUCGGGGGCCUAGUGCUGGCAUUUUGAGUGUUGUUAACCUCUGCUAUUUUAGGACUGGUGUGUAGGAGCGCAUCACUACUGAAUCAGGCAUUCAGAUACUUCUCUCCUGGGAAUACGGUUCAGAAAUCUGGCUGCAAAGCAUGUGAAAGGAAGAGGAUUCACGUCUCCCUAUAUUUAAGAGAAAAAACAUAUGACCUGUUCAGCAGCAAUUCGUCUCAAGCAUCAAUCAGCAAGAUAUGGACCAGAAGGUCUGUUCAGGCAGUACAACUCUCAUGAAUGCAAAAUGAAGACAGUAAAAAGAGGAACAGAACUGUCAUGUUCUGGAAAAAGGUAAAUCCUGUUACUACUCACAAUUGCCAAACCUUGGGGAAUUUAAUUCUUCCAUUAACCUGGUCACUCUCCCAGAGAUACACGUAGCCUUUUCUUCCAGGCAGUCCACUUUCCUCUCUUGCAGCUGCAGGAGCUCUGGGCUGGUAUGAUAACGCUAGGGCUGGGAGUGAUGUUCGCACCUGGUUUAUUUAACAUAGCCAUUCCUGAGAAGCUGAUAACAGUAUUUUCAUAGUGAACGAUUUGCAUUUCUGAGCCCAUAGCACAGUGCCAGACCCAGCUGCUCGGUGGUGUUCAUUUGAGAUAAUCAAAUAUUUAGCAGCCAUUGCUGUAGCAAACGCUGCAUUAGGCCACAUCUCACAAAGCGGGGCUCCUUCCUCUGUUAGCCACCACCGUGCAAGUGGAACUCCUCCAAAGGACAGCCUCUGCCGCAGGAAGCCCACGGGUUUCACCCAUGGGUACCUGGGAGGAAGGGCUGACAGUCUGGUACCUGCAAACACCAGGAAGAGUAGAAGAGCUGUUUGUUUAAGUGAGACUACUGCUCUAUGAAUGUUUUAAUGGUUCACUGUACAAUUGCAGUGAGUAGGUUGCUAUUUUUAAAUGUUAAAACAUUCACCAGCUUGAAUUAAAUAAUUGAUUUAUUCUGUAUAAAGUUUCUAGGUCUACAUUUCUUAGUGGAGGGCACUGUUGCUGGACUAGACUACCUCUCUGGGACUUGUAUUUCUUCUGUGUUUCUUUUCCUAUGCAGAACCAGCUGUUACAAGAAAUAAAUGAAUAAUUUACUGGCUCAAAUUAGCAUUUUCAUCUUAUCUGUGAAUUAAGCUAAGGUUUUUCUCAAA
Molecule: long non-coding RNA, 1311 nt
Organism: Harpia harpyja (harpy eagle)
Lineage: Eukaryota; Metazoa; Chordata; Aves; Accipitriformes; Accipitridae
Exons: 3
Source: RefSeq, a predicted model, not a curated record